UACGUAGGUGGCGAGCGUUGUCCGGAAUUACUGGGUGUAAAGGGCGUGUAGGCGGGAAGGUAAGUCAGAUGUGAAAUACCGGGGCUCAACUCCGGGGCUGCAUUUGAAACUAUCUUUCUUGAGUGCAGGAGAGGAAAGCGGAAUUCCUAGUGUAGCGGUGAAAUGCGUAGAGAUUAGGAGGAACACCAGUGGCGAAGGCGGCUUUCUGGACUGUAACUGACGAUGAGGCGCGAAAGCGUGGGGAGCGAACAGG
This 253-nucleotide ribosomal RNA is filed under the name uncultured bacterium. Its description in RNAcentral is "partial 16S ribosomal RNA". It matches the Rfam family "Bacterial small subunit ribosomal RNA", at positions 524 to 776 of the family's 1533-position model. The record is from RNAcentral.